UACAGAGGUGGCGAGCGUUGUUCGGAUUUACUGGGCGUAAAGGGCGCGUAGGCGGCGCGGUGUGUCGGGUGUGAAAUCCAUGGGCCCAACCCAUGAAGUGCGCCCGAAACUGCCGCGCUUGAGUGCGGGAGGGGAGAUCGGAAUGCAGGGUGUAGCGGUGAAAUGCGUUGAUAUCCUGCAGAACACCGGUGGCGAAGGCGGAUCUCUGGAACGCAACUGACGCUGAGGCGCGAAAGUCGGGGGAGCAAACAGG
Molecule: ribosomal RNA, 253 nt
Filed under: uncultured bacterium
Lineage: Bacteria
Description: partial 16S ribosomal RNA
Rfam family: Bacterial small subunit ribosomal RNA
Source: RNAcentral